AAUGGGCGAAAGCCUGACGCAGCGACGCCGCGUGAGUGAUGAAGGCCUUCGGGUUGUAAAGCUCUGUGGAGAGGGACGAAUAAGGGUUGGCUAAUAUCCAGCUCGAUGACGGUACCUUUUUAGCAAGCACCGGCUAACUCUGUGCCAGCAGCCGCGGUAAGACAGAGGGUGCAAACGUUGUUCGGAAUUACUGGGCGUAAAGCGCGUGUAGGCUGCUCGGAAAGUCGGAUGUGAAAGCCCUGGGCUCAACCUAGGAAGUGCAUUCGAAACUUCCGAGCUGGAGUGCUGGAGAGGAAGGCGGAAUUCUCGGUGUAGAGGUGAAAUUCGUAGAUAUCGAUAGGAACAUCGGUGGCGAAGGCGGCCUUCUGGACAGCAACUGACGCUGAGACGCGAAAGCGUGGGGAGCAAA
RNAcentral lists this ribosomal RNA (409 nucleotides) under uncultured bacterium. RNAcentral's name for it is "bacterial SSU rRNA". It matches the Rfam family "Bacterial small subunit ribosomal RNA", at positions 370 to 772 of the family's 1533-position model. The record is from RNAcentral.